RNAcentral lists this ribosomal RNA (465 nucleotides) under uncultured bacterium. RNAcentral's name for it is "partial 16S ribosomal RNA". It matches the Rfam family "Bacterial small subunit ribosomal RNA", at positions 338 to 795 of the family's 1533-position model. The record is from RNAcentral.
CCUACGGGAGGCUGCAGUGGGGAAUAUUGCGCAAUGGGCGAAAGCCUGACGCAGCGACGCCGCGUGAGUGAUGAAGGUCUUCGGAUCGUAAACCUCUGUCAGCAGGGAAGAACGGUCACUGUGCUAAUCAGCAGUGAAUUGACGGUACCUGCAAAGGAAGCACCGGCUAACUCCGUGCCAGCAGCCGCGGUAAUACGGAGGGUGCGAGCGUUAAUCGGAAUUACUGGGCGUAAAGCGCUCGUAGGCGGUAUGUCAAGUCAAGGGUGAAAUCCCCGCGCUCAACGUGGGAACUGCCUUUGAAACUGGUAAACUGGAGUGUGUGAGAGGAUAGUGGAAUUCCAGGUGUAGGAGUGAAAUGCGUAGAUAUCUGGAGGAACAUCAGUGGCGAAGGCGACUAUCUGGCACAUAACUGACGCUGAGGAGCGAAAGCGUGGGUAGCAAACAGGAUUAGAUACCCCAGUAGUC